This 937-nucleotide ribosomal RNA is filed under the name Desulfobacteraceae bacterium enrichment culture clone L35B_29. RNAcentral describes it as "bacterial SSU rRNA". It matches the Rfam family "Bacterial small subunit ribosomal RNA", at positions 8 to 916 of the family's 1533-position model. Lineage: Bacteria; Pseudomonadati; Thermodesulfobacteriota; Desulfuromonadia; Desulfuromonadales; Desulfuromonadaceae. The record is from RNAcentral.
AGAGUUUGAUCAUGGCUCAGAAUGAACGCUGGCGGCGUGCUUAACACAUGCAAGUCGCACGAGAAUUCUUCUGCUUGCAGAAGAUAGUAAAGUGGCGCACGGGUGAGUAAUGCGUGGGCAAUCUUCCCUUGAAUCGGGGAUAACAUCGCGAAAGCGUUGCUAAUACCGGAUAACAUCCAUUGAUCUGCGGAUGAAUGGAUCAAAGGUGGCCUCUACAUGUAAGCUACUGUUUGAGGAUGAGCCUGCGUACCAUUAGCUUGUUGGCGGGGUAACGGCCCACCAAGGCGACGAUGGUUAGCUGGUCUGAGAGGAUGAUCAGCCACACUGGAACUGACACACGGUCCAGACUCCUACGGGAGGCAGCAGUGAGGAAUUUUGCGCAAUGGGGGAAACCCUGACGCAGCAACGCCGCGUGAGCGAUGAAGGCCUUCGGGUCGUAAAGCUCUGUCAAGUGGGAAGAACCUGCAUUGGGUUAACAUCUCAGUGCACUGACGGUACCACUGAAGGAAGCACCGGCUAACUCCGUGCCAGCAGCCGCGGUAAUACGGAGGGUGCGAGCGUUAUUCGGAAUUAUUGGGCGUAAAGGGCGCGUAGGCGGCCGUUUAAGUCAGGUGUGAAAGCCCGGGGCUUAACCCCGGAAGUGCAUUUGAUACUGAGCGGCUUGAGUAUGGGAGAGGGAAGUGGAAUUCCUGGUGUAGAGGUGAAAUUCGUAGAUAUCAGGAGGAACACCGGUGGCGAAGGCGACUUCCUGGACCAAUACUGACGCUGAGGCGCGAAGGCGUGGGGAUCAAACAGGAUUAGAUACCCUGAUAGUCCACGCAGUAAACGGUGAUCACUAGGUGUAGCGGGUAUUGACCCCUGCUGUGCCGCAGCUAACGCAUUAAGUGAUCCGCCUGGGGAGUACGAUCGCAAGGUUAAAACUCAAAUGAAUUGACGG